GGAGACCGAUGCUGGAGUGGAAGAGAGGGACGGAAUCGGAAAUUUCGAUGACAUCAUUGGGGCCGGAGAUGCGACCUAGGAGGACUCCGUUGACGGCGGAGGUCCGGUGCUUUAGGGCAUGGAGAACAAGCUUUAUGUAAGCAUUCUGAGAGAUCUCGAAGCGUAGAUCGCCGCCCAUGAAUCUGUGAGUUGGUAAAUCUCCGGUUAGUCUGCAGGGAGAGACGGUUAAGAGAGGAGGAGGAGGCGGAGUUUAC
Molecule: unclassified non-coding RNA, 254 nt
Filed under: Hevea brasiliensis (rubber tree)
Lineage: Eukaryota; Viridiplantae; Streptophyta; Magnoliopsida; Malpighiales; Euphorbiaceae
Source: RNAcentral